GACGAACGCUGGCGGCGUGCUUAACACAUGCAAGUCGAACGGUAAGGCCCUUCGGGGUACACGAGUGGCGAACGGGUGAGUAACACGUGGGUGAUCUGCCCUGCACUUCGGGAUAAGCCUGGGAAACUGGGUCUAAUACCGGAUAGGACUCCGGACUGCAUGGUCUGGGGUGGAAAGCUUUUGCGGUGUGGGAUGGGCCCGCGGCCUAUCAGCUUGUUGGUGGGGUGAUGGCCUACCACGGCGACGACGGGUAGCCGGCCUGGGAGGGUGACCGGCCACACUGGGACUGGGAUACGGCCCAGACUCCUACAGGAGGCAGCAGUGGGGAAUACUGCACAAUGGGCGCAAGCCUGAUGCAGCGACGCCGCGUGAGGGAUGACGGCCUUCGGGUUGUAAACCUCUUUCAGCAUCGACGAAGCGAAAGUGACGGUAGGUGCAGAAGAAGGACCGGCCAACUACGUGCCAGCAGCCGCGGUAA
Molecule: ribosomal RNA, 478 nt
Filed under: uncultured bacterium
Lineage: Bacteria
Description: partial 16S ribosomal RNA
Rfam family: Bacterial small subunit ribosomal RNA
Source: RNAcentral